This 253-nucleotide ribosomal RNA is filed under the name uncultured bacterium. Its description in RNAcentral is "partial 16S ribosomal RNA". It matches the Rfam family "Bacterial small subunit ribosomal RNA", at positions 524 to 776 of the family's 1533-position model. The record is from RNAcentral.
UACGUAGGUAGCGAGCGUUAUUCGGAUUUACUGGGCGUAAAGGGUCCGCAGGAGGCCUGCCAAGUCUGAUGUGAAAGCCCACGGCUCAACUGUGGAACUGCAUCGGAAACUGGCGGGCUCGAGUGCACGAGGGGAAAGCGGAAUUCCAGGUGUAGCGGUGGAAUGCGUAGAUAUCUGGAGGAACACCGAUGGCGAAGGCGGCUUUCUGGCGUGCAACUGACUCUCAUGGACGAAAGUGUGGGUAGCAAACAGG